Long non-coding RNA from Cyprinodon variegatus (sheepshead minnow), 434 nucleotides. RefSeq lists it as uncharacterized. NCBI's taxonomy places the organism in Eukaryota, Metazoa, Chordata, Actinopteri, Cyprinodontiformes, Cyprinodontidae. The record is from RefSeq and is a predicted model, not a curated record. The transcript is spliced from 3 exons.
GAAGUUGCUCUUUAGAUCUUCUGCUCACCAACUGAUAAACUCUAUGAUAUAAAGCUCCAUUAGUCUAUUAAAUGAAGGAUCGUCUUAAUCUGAUGGCAGCUCUGUCUGAGAACAUGCUGAUAGUAAACAUGUUACUGGGUGUCUUCUUUCUUCCAGGUACUUUGGCUAAUUGUGGUAAAAACCCAGACCUCAGAAUCACUACACCAAAUAAGAUUGAAGCUCUGAGUGGAUCUUGUUUGGAAAUCCCAUGUAUCUAUGAUACAGAGGAUCCCAGAUAUGACAGCAGCAGAACUAUCUAUGGAGUUUGGAUGAAAGGUGGUCACAAUUUUGGCCCUAAUCCAAAUAUCGUUAUUUUCAACAGCAGUGGGUCAGUUAACAACUAUUCACUGAGUCUUACUGGAAACCUGAGAGAGAAAAACUGCACCACUCUGUUU